Molecule: transfer RNA, 66 nt
Filed under: Hippotiscus dorsalis
Lineage: Eukaryota; Metazoa; Arthropoda; Insecta; Hemiptera; Pentatomidae
Description: tRNA-Pro
Source: RNAcentral
CAGUGAAUAGUUUAUUAAAAAUAUUAAUUUUGGAGAUUAAAGAAAAAUCUUGUGAUUUUUUACUGA